Long non-coding RNA from Balaenoptera musculus (blue whale), 365 nucleotides. RefSeq lists it as uncharacterized. The transcript is spliced from 3 exons. The record is from RefSeq and is a predicted model, not a curated record. NCBI's taxonomy places the organism in Eukaryota, Metazoa, Chordata, Mammalia, Artiodactyla, Balaenopteridae.
AAGCGUCGGACAGCCGGCUGGGCGGGGUUGCGGCUGCCACGUUGGAGCGGAACGUGGAGGUGGCCCUGGGCAGGAGGAGGGGCGGCGGCGAAUGCUGGGAGAGUCAGACGAGCGCGGCGCUAACGCAGGAACUGGUCGCCGGGGGUCCCCGCCAGCAGGAUGAAGUUAAAGGAAAUAGAUCGUACAGCCAUGCAGGCAUGGAGCCCUGCCCAGAAUCAUCCCAUUUACCUAGCUACAGGAACAUCUGCUCAACAAUUGGAUGCAACAUUUAGUACCAGUGCUUCUCUUGAGAUAUUUGAAUUAGACCUUUCUGAUCCAUCCUUGGAUAUGAAAUCUUGUGCCACUUUCUCUUCUUCUCACAGGUA